UCCCUGGUGGCUCAGACGGUAAAGCGUCUGCCUGCAAUGGGGGAGACCCAGGUUCGAUUCCUGGGUCGGGAA
RNAcentral lists this transfer RNA (72 nucleotides) under Ovis aries (sheep). It matches the Rfam family "tRNA". From Rfam's summary of the family: Transfer RNA (tRNA) molecules are approximately 80 nucleotides in length. The record is from Rfam by way of RNAcentral. Lineage: Eukaryota; Metazoa; Chordata; Mammalia; Artiodactyla; Bovidae.